RNAcentral lists this long non-coding RNA (629 nucleotides) under Brachypodium distachyon (stiff brome). Its description in RNAcentral is "long non-coding RNA (BDIS_LNC004285)". The record is from RNAcentral. Lineage: Eukaryota; Viridiplantae; Streptophyta; Magnoliopsida; Poales; Poaceae.
GACGCGCGGCAUUCGGGGCGCCUAUUUUGGAAACUGCGAUUACGAGAGGAAACUUCAAAUUGAUUGCCUGAAUCGGUAUCCGGGAUGGUGAGAAUUGAUGGGGUGGUUUCCUUUCGAAGAAAGAUGUGCAGGAAGGAAAGAAAUCGAAGGAAGAAAAUAUGAAAGGAGAAAUUUCCUCACCUGCAGAGGAGGAAGAAGAGCACAGCUCGUGCUCGCUGGCUGGGGUGCUCGGUGGAGAUGGGCCGGCCCAGUUUGGGUCGGUCCAUUCUCUUUUUUCUUUUUUUUCCAUUUCUGUUUUUAUUAAUAACUUUUGAUUCCUAACUCCAAAUAAGUCCAAAUAAACUCCAGUAAAUUUGUAAAUUCAAAUCCUCCAAAGUGUGAACUUUUGGGACUUGAAUUCUUUCAAAAUAAAAAUAAGUAAAAAUAUUUUUGCUUAUAUAAAUGUCAUUAGGGCUUUAUAAGUAAUGGGUUUUGAAAUCUAUUAUGAAACCUUUGUUUCAUGAAUUAGUUUAAACUCCAACAAAAUAUUGGGUUGGCAUACUUUGCACUAAAACCCUUUCUUAGAUAAAUACCCCAUUGGGUUGAAUUCCAAAUAAAAUCUCAUAUUAAUUAAAUCGUUCACUAAAUUC